ACGAAUUUUAUUGAAAAAAAAAGUCUGACUGUGAAAAAGUCGGCAUAAAUUGUGAAUUCGAAGCAGUUUUCUGCUAAGGAGUAUAGUAUGUGUCUUAAGAAAGUGAAUGCACAUGUCAGCCUGAAUUAGAUUGCUAAGAGAAAGGCAUAUAUACAUAUUUUUAAUCCGGUGCCAAAUCAACUGAAUUGGCACCUAGUUUUGGUCUAAACCUAGUCCUGGUUCAAACCUAGUCCACAGACUAGAUAUAAUGGUAUAAGUCUAACAGCGAACUUAAGAGAGGCGCAGGAGAGGCACGCCCGUCGAAACGGACUGAAGCCCACGGGAGCAGCAGACUCUCGAGAAGGAGUAUUUUGGCGCAGACAUUUGGCCAGAAGAGAUCUGAUGCGACAGGCGUAAAAAGAGAAAAAAAAUAUAAAGAGUAUAUGAUUCUCUAGGCCCCCCCACUACCCUUGCUUUGCGUGAUAAGCAAAAGCUUUCUUUAGAUGAUUAUCAGCCAGCGAAGCUUUCAUGUGUAGCCGCUUGGCUUGCGUUUUGUUUUGUUUUUUUGGUUACUGGUGAUUGCCGCAUAGCCUCCAACCACAAAAAAAAAAAAAGAAAAAUUAAAUAUCUUCGCCAGGCCCUAAUGAUGAAUGUAACUCUUUAAUUUUGGGCACAAAUAAUUUAUGCCCUUGAUUUUUUUUUAUUUUUUUUUUAUAUAUAAUGUUAUCUUAAAGUUAAUCUUUUUAAAUCGUAAAAUUCUGAUGCAUUGGCGUUCUCCAAAGCCAAUUUUAUUUUUUUUUCUUUUAUUUCAUUUUG
Drosophila willistoni is the source of this 795-nucleotide long non-coding RNA. RefSeq lists it as uncharacterized. The transcript is spliced from 3 exons. The record is from RefSeq and is a predicted model, not a curated record. NCBI's taxonomy places the organism in Eukaryota, Metazoa, Arthropoda, Insecta, Diptera, Drosophilidae.